GCAAAGGAUUCGCUUUGGAACGGGUUUUGGGGUGUGCCUGCUUCCUCCUCUCGGUCAGGACCGGGCACAGAAACCGUGGUGCGGCUCCAUGCAGAAGCGCUAGGUAGCUGGAAACAGAGGAAGCUCUUUGUGGACUGAGGAAAGCUCUCCAAGAUACAGUAUAUUAAUCUGCUCUGGCUGCCAUAACAAAAUACCGGAAAUUGGGUGGCUUAAACAACAGAAAUGUAUUUUCUGGAAGCUGAAAGUCCAAGAUCAAAGUUGCCAAUGGAGGGCAAACUGAGAAGCUUAUUUUCCUGGUGCAUCUAGUUGCUCAAUGAUAAAUAAAACAUUAU
Globicephala melas (long-finned pilot whale) is the source of this 332-nucleotide long non-coding RNA. RefSeq lists it as uncharacterized. The record is from RefSeq and is a predicted model, not a curated record. NCBI's taxonomy places the organism in Eukaryota, Metazoa, Chordata, Mammalia, Artiodactyla, Delphinidae.